Folsomia candida is the source of this 485-nucleotide long non-coding RNA. RefSeq lists it as uncharacterized. NCBI's taxonomy places the organism in Eukaryota, Metazoa, Arthropoda, Collembola, Entomobryomorpha, Isotomidae. The record is from RefSeq and is a predicted model, not a curated record. The transcript has 3 exons.
UCAACUCACGAGAUUCUGAAUUUCUCAAUUUAUUCGAACUUUUUCCAGCACACUAACCAGUCAACCACUUUCUGCUCCACCCUAAUUUCUGGCUUUUGUCCAUGCCAGCCUGAUUCGUAAAAUUUAAUUCCUACCCUGCCGAAGCCAUGAAGUCUCAGAUUGCUCUCGUUCUCAUCAUCACCUUAUCUCUCGCUCUUGGAAGCACAGUUCCCAGCCAAAAUGCAGGUUUCUGUUCCGAUAUGAGGUACGCGUGCGGGGAGGAUGCAGCAUCCGUGGGAGAAUGCACUGAGGACACUCCAGCUCGAGCAGUUUGUCUCCGUCCGCUAUCAUUACAUUUCAGACUUCAAUGUCUCGCAAUGGAGUGCGAUUUUACUGAAAAGUCCCCAAACUACAUUUGCGUCUGCCAGAACAUCUAUGGAUAUAAGAAAUUAAAUUAAUUAGCUUGAAGUAAGAUAAAAAUUAAAAUAUUUCAGUGCACAAUUUGU